Long non-coding RNA from Pezoporus flaviventris, 1444 nucleotides. RefSeq lists it as uncharacterized. NCBI's taxonomy places the organism in Eukaryota, Metazoa, Chordata, Aves, Psittaciformes, Psittacidae. The record is from RefSeq and is a predicted model, not a curated record. The transcript has 2 exons.
GGGGCUGCAGCCCUUGGUUAUCUCCAGAAACACCAGUGGCCCUAAUCUUGACCUUCCCUAAUUCCCAGACUUUGGGAAUUUGCUACAGUUGGGAUUAAUUCUGGUUUUCCUUCAAGCCUCCCAACCUCCAGCAUAACUUCACAUGAUAGUUUUUAGCUUUUGCUUGUAUCAACACAAGGACGAAUCUUGUCACAGUUGCCAGCCCCUCAGAACAGCAAUAUUCCUCCCCACCACUGCAGGCAACCACUGGAGCAUCACUCCUACUGACAUCUGAAGGAGCACAGCUCAUUUGCUGUGGUGAUUUAUUGGGAUCCUGUCACAGGCCUAGGGUCUUCUGAUUUGUGAGGGCUCUUACCCGGGCUCAGAUUUACCCAGGCACGACAGCAGCGCAUGCAGCAGUGAUGCUCACUGAUAUCAUCUCUUAAUUAUGUUUGCAGAAAACCGUUUAAUGAAUAGAGCUUUAGUGCCCUUCAUCUGAAACUUCACACUCAGCAACCUGCCCAAUGCUGACCUCAGUGUGAGCCAACCACUGUGCCACAGCUUGGCUUAUGUUUAGCAGGUCACUGGCUUUUUAAUGCAUUACCUUCAUAGGCUUGUACCAGAUAAAAUCACUCAGGAUCUGAGCCUGCUCCCGCCACAAUCAGUGGCACUGACUUCAGCAGGAGCAGCCAAGAGGAGGGUCUUUGCAGCUUCAACGCUUUGAAUGCUGUCGGGCUUCCAGAGAUAACGUGCAACACGUGGAAGAAGAGCAGAUUAAGGAAUAAAUAUUGUCUUUAUUAUUUGGUGGAUACAUUGCAUGAAAUAUGUACCAUGAUAAGAGAGUAUCAUCUGAUAUGACAGCUUGCAAAAUCAGGGACUGAAAAUAACUAGUGAUCCCCUCUUCCCUUUGUCUCUCAGAGAGUUUUUACCCACCAAUAAAGCCUCUUAUUUAUUUAAUACCAAUAAAUGCUAUUUACUGGUAUUAAACAAAGACAGAUGAUAGCAGGGGAGGCAGAGCAGAAGCUGGACUCCUUCUUACUCACCAUUCCCAUGUUCUCUAGCAACAGCUCCGUUUAAAUACUGACAAAACCCUGCCUCCCGUUAUCAGACGUGCUUUCAGACCAUGCUUAGCAUCAUGACAGUGUUUCACUGUUCUGCUGGGACCUGGGGCUUUCUUAUCCCUUGAAACAUUUCAAAACUCCAAGCUCUGCACAGCCAGGGGCUGGGGGAGAAAGGACAAGAGGGCAGGAGAAGCCUUAAAUGAAAGGCCACCACUGCCUCUGCUGCAAUCUGCCCAUGGCCGGGCUGGAGGGCAGGCAGGGGGAAUGCACUCAACAGAUCCUAGCAGAAGAGGAAUGCCAACCCCAGUUGCUUCUGGUCUCAGGAAAGAGUUUGCAUUGUGAUUUUCCCCCAUGCUGUUGUAGCUAGGAAUAAAUAAAAGAAGCUGUGUUAUUUGCAUUUUUAA